GGUGAACAGCGGAGGGACAUUAU
Molecule: ribosomal RNA, 23 nt
Filed under: Dactylaria sp. 20417
Lineage: Eukaryota; Fungi; Ascomycota; Leotiomycetes; Helotiales
Description: partial 18S ribosomal RNA
Source: RNAcentral